Molecule: transfer RNA, 99 nt
Filed under: Lentinula aff. boryana
Lineage: Eukaryota; Fungi; Basidiomycota; Agaricomycetes; Agaricales; Omphalotaceae
Description: tRNA-Val
Source: RNAcentral
GGUUCGGUGGCGUAGUUGGUUAUCGCAUCUGUCUAACAUUGUUUGCCUCGUCAACUGAAGUUCCACAGAAGGUCCCCAGUUCGAGCCUGGGUCGAAUCA